Molecule: long non-coding RNA, 1536 nt
Filed under: Nicotiana tabacum (common tobacco)
Lineage: Eukaryota; Viridiplantae; Streptophyta; Magnoliopsida; Solanales; Solanaceae
Description: long non-coding RNA (NTAB_LNC004315)
Source: RNAcentral
GGUUAACAUUUCGACAAGUUCGAAAUAAUACACUUUAAGGCCCAGGGCCUUCACCAAAGAAGAAGAGUUCGACCUUGAUCGAAUGACGACGGGUUAACAUUUUGAUAACUUCGAAAAGACACCCUUUAAGGCCAAGGGCCUUCGCCAAAGAAGAAGAGUUCGACCUUGAUCGUACGACGACGGGUUAAUAUUUCUACAAGUUAGAAAUAACACCCUUUAAGGCCAAGGGCCUUCUCCAAAGAAGAAGAGUUCGACCUUGAUCGAACGACUACGGGUUAACAUUUCGAUAAGUUCGAAAUAACAUCCUUUAUGGCCAAGAGCCUUCGCCAAAGAAGAAGAGUUCCACCUUUAUCAAGCGAAGACGAGUUAAUAUUUCAACAAGUUCGAAAUAACACCCUUUAAGGCCAAGGGCCAUGGCCAAUAAAGAAGAGUUCGACCUUGAUCGAACGACGACGGGUUAAUAUUUCGAUAAGUUCGAAAUAACACCCUUUAAGGCCAAGGGCCUUCGCCAAAGAAGAAGAGUUCGACCUUGAUCGAAUGACGAUGGGUUAACAUUUCGAUAAGUUCGAAAUAAAACCCUUUAUGGCCAAGGGACUUUGCCAAAGAAGAAGAGUUCGACCUUGAUCGAACGAUGACGGGUUAAAUUUUCGACAAGUUCGAAAUAAUACACUUUAAGGCCAAAGAAGAAGUGUUCGACCAUGAUAGAACGACGACGGGUUAAUAUUUCGACAAGUUCGAAAUAAUACACUUUAAGGCCAAGGGCCUUCGCCAAGAAGGAGAGUUCGACCUUGAUCGAACGAGGAUGGGUUAACAUUUUGAUAAGUUCGAAAUAAUGACCUUUAAGGCCAAGGGGUUUCGCCAAUGAAGAAGAGUUCAACCUUGAUCGAACGACGACGGUUUAAUAUUUCGAUAAGUUCGAAAUAACAUCCUUUAAGGCCAAGGGCCUUCUCCAAAGAAGAAGAGUUCGACCUUGAUCGAACGACGACGGGUUAACAUUUUAAUAAUUUCGAAAUAAUUCCCUUUAAGGACAAGGGCCUUCGCCAAAGAAGAAGAGUUCGACCUUGAUCGAACGACGACGGGUUAAAAUUUCAAUAAGUUCGAAAUAACAUCCUUUAUGGCCAAGGUCCUUCGCCAAGGAAGAAGAGUUCCACCUUGAUCGAACGACGACGGGUUAAUAUUUCGAUAAGUUCGAAAUAACACCCUUUAAGGCCAAGGGCCUUCUCCAAAGAAGAAGAGUUCGACCUUGAUCGUACGACGACGGGUUAAUAUUUCUACAAGUUAGAAAUAACACCCUUUAAGGCCAAAGGCCUUCUCCAAAGAAGAAGUGUUCGACCUUGAUCGAACGACGACGGGUUAAUAUUUCGACAAGUUCGAAAUAAUACACUUUAAGGCCAAGGGCCUUCACCAAAGAAGAAGAGUUCGACCUUGAUCGAAUGACGACGGGUUAACAUUUUGAUAACUUCGAAAAGAUACCCUUUAAGGCCAAGGGCCUUCGCUAAAGAAGAAGAGUUCGACCUUGAUCGUACGACGACGGGU